Molecule: ribosomal RNA, 372 nt
Filed under: Peronia verruculata
Lineage: Eukaryota; Metazoa; Mollusca; Gastropoda; Systellommatophora; Onchidiidae
Description: partial large subunit ribosomal RNA
Rfam family: Archaeal large subunit ribosomal RNA
Source: RNAcentral
CUGACUGUGCUAAGGUAGCGUAAUCAGNUGGCUUUUAAAUGGAGUCGAGUAUGAAUGGGUCUACGGAAACAAGCUGUCUCUUUUUGGUUAUAUUGAAGUUUCUUUAAGGGUGCAAAGUCCCUUGAUUAGAAAAAAGACGAGAAGACCCUUAGAGUUUUUAUUAAAGAUAAGAAUUUAUUUAAGUUUUUGCUGGGGCGGCAAAGAGACAAAGCAAUUAAACUCUCUUUUUAUUGUUUUUAGAAGACGAAAAUGUUAAGAAUCAUUAAACUACCUUAGGGAUAACAGCAUAAUUAAAUUUUAGUUUGUGACCUCGAUGUUGGACUAGGAAGGCUUUUGACCAGCAGUCAAAAAGUGUGGUUCUGUUCGAACUAA